Molecule: ribosomal RNA, 443 nt
Filed under: uncultured bacterium
Lineage: Bacteria
Description: partial 16S ribosomal RNA
Rfam family: Bacterial small subunit ribosomal RNA
Source: RNAcentral
CCUACGGGGGGCAGCAGUGGGGAAUAUUGCGCAAUGGGCGCAAGCCUGACCCAGCAACGCCGCGUGAAGGAAGAAGGCUUUCGGGUUGUAAACUUCUUUUCUCAGGGACGAAGCAAGUGACGGUACCUUAAGAAUAAGCCACUGCUAACUACGCACCAGCAGCCGCCGUAAUACGUAGGUGGCAAGCGUUAUCCGGAUUUACUGGGGGUAAAGGGCGUGAAGGCGGGAAAGCAAGUCAGCUGUGAAAACCCUGGGCUCAACCUGUGGCCUGCAUUUGAAACUGGUUUUCUUGAGUACAGGAGAGGCAAGCGGAAUUCCUAGUGUAGCGGUGAAAUGCGUAGAUAUUAGGAGGAACACCAGUGGCGAAGGCGGCCUACUGGACAGCAACUGACGCUGAGGCGCGAAAGCGUGGGGAGCAAACAGGAUUAGAUACCCCAGUAGUC